AGAGUUUGAUCCUGGCUCAAGAUGAACGCUGGCGGCAGGCUUAAUACAUGCAAGUCGAACGGUAACGACCGGUAGCAAUACUGGGGCGACGAGUGGCGCACGGGUGCGUAACGCGUAUGCAACCUACCCUCAACCGGGGCAUAACGCCGAGAAAUUGGCGCUAAUAUCCCAUGUGUAUAUGGAGUGGCAUCUCUUCAUAUAUAAAGAUCCGUUGGUUAAGGAUGGGCAUGCGUAACAUUAGCUAGUUGGCGGGGUAACGGCCCACCAAGGCGACGAUGUUUAGGGGUUCUGAGAGGAUUCACCCCCACACUGGAACUGAGACACGGUCCAGACUCCUACGGGAGGCAGCAGUAGGGAAUAUUGGGCAAUGGAGGCAACUCUGACCCAGCCAUGCCGCGUGAAGGAAGACGGCCCUAUGGGUUGUAAACUUCUUUUGCCGCAGAGUAACCGCGGGGACGAGUCCCUGCCUGAGAGUAUGCGGCGAAUAAGUAUCGGCUAACUCCGUGCCAGCAGCCGCGGUAAUACGGAGGAUACGAGCGUUAUCCGGAUUUAUUGGGUUUAAAGGGUGCGCAGGCGGACCGUUAAGUCAGGGGUGAAAAGUUGGGGCUCAACUCCAAUCGUGCCUUUGAUACUGGCGGACUAGAGUGCAGGGGACGUGACUGGAAUGUGAUGUGUAGCGGUGAAAUGCUUAGAUAUGUCACAGAACGCCGAUCGUGAAGACAGGUCACGAAUCUGCAACUGACGCUCAUGCACGAAAGCGUGGGGAUCAAACAGGAUUAAAUACCCUGGUAGUCCACGCUGUAAACAAUGAUCCCUCGUUGUCGGCCGGUUGACGGUCAAUGGCUAACCGAAAACCAUAAGGGACCCCCCCGGGGAAGUACAAACCCCAAAGGUUAAAACCCAAAGGAAAUUGACGGGGGCCCCCCCAACCGGAAGGAACAUGUGGUUUAUUUCCAAAAAACCCCAAGGAACCUUCCCCCGGGCUUGGACAUA
This 993-nucleotide ribosomal RNA is filed under the name uncultured bacterium. RNAcentral describes it as "bacterial SSU rRNA". It matches the Rfam family "Bacterial small subunit ribosomal RNA", at positions 8 to 988 of the family's 1533-position model. The record is from RNAcentral.